CACCUAGGCGCCCCAGUUUUUGUCUAUUUUUAAACUGGAUUAUUUUCUUAAUGUAGAGAUAUGAAUUUUAUUUACUUAUUUAUUUUUUUGGUAUAGUCUGAACACAAGUUGUUUGUACAAAUGAAUAUUUUUCCUAGUCCGUAACUUGCCUUUUCAGUCUCUUAACAAUGUCUUUCCCAGUUGAAAUGUUUUAGAAUUUUAAUACUAUUUAAGUAAUCAAGAUUUUCACUUUAAAGAUUGUGCUUUUGGUAUCAUGUGUACUCUAAGUCACAAAGAUUUUCUCUAUUAUUUUCUUGUAAAACUAUAGUUUUGUGUUUUUUUAUUAAACAUUUUUUAAAAAAAUUUUAUUUAUUUUUGAGAGAGAGACAGACUGUGAGCAGGAGAGGAACAGAGAGAGGGAGACACAGAAUCUGAAGCAGGCUCCAGGCUCUGAGCCAUCAGCACAGAGCCCGAUGCAGGGCUCAAACUCAUGAACCGUGAGAUCAUGACCUGAGCUGAAGUCGGAGGCUUAACCGACUGAGCCACCCAGGCAUUGGUUCAUUUACCUGGGUUGUUGAAUUUCUGUGUGUAGAGUUAGGACAUUCCCUCCUCCUCCUGCUUGUUGAGAAUACUGCAUGAUGGAAAAUGUUUGCCAGAAAACACGUAUGGGGGCACCUGGGUGGCUCCAUCGGUGGAGACACGAACUCUGGAUUUUGGCUCAGAUCCCGGCUGUGGCUCCUCCAUUGGACUCAGGAAAGUCUCAAGUUCCAAACCUUUGGUGUUCAAGAACCUCAUGGUCCAACACUGCUCACCUCACCAGAAUCCUCUCUUGCUACCUCCCCCCUUCCCAGACUUCUGCCUUGCCAGAGGAUAUACAAUCCAGAGUGCUUAUGAAUUCUCUGGAACGCUUAUUUAAAAUACAAAGUCCUAGGCUCCAGAUUCUGAGGUAGUAGAUAAGCCUCAGGGCUCUGGAAGCUGCAUUGCAACAAGCUGGGCAACUCAUAUGGAGGGGACUUAUGGACCCCACCUGAGAAAUCCUGCUGAUCAGGUUCAAAGCUAGGCUAUUUCUUAAAGCUUCAUGCUGUUUAGUCUCUAGCAUUUCCAUGUGCUGCAUUCACUACCUGGAGUACCCUUCCCAUUUUUCAUCUUCUGCCUUCCUUACUUCCAACCCUGCGUAGGUUCUUUAUCCUUCCCUUCCAGGAUGCAGCUUUCAGGUGGUGUCUUCUGAGAAACCCUCACCACCCUUUCAAAGCUAAGCGGGUGAACCCCCCUUCUUUGUACAUGCUAAGGAAUUUAUUACACUAUCACUGCCUGGUCACUGGUUUCUCCUAUAUAAGCGGAGGAGCUCCUUAUGGGCUUGCCUCUGAUUGGUGAAAUCUUCCGAACUUGACAUUUUCAAAAGAAUGGCAGCGCUGUACGAGGGCCAUUAAAUAAGUCCUAUCCCCUGGCAGCACAAAAUACCACAGAAAUGGCAUGGCGACCUCCUUCCAUCUUUCUGUUCAACAUAAUACCAAGAGUGAAUUUCUUUUAGCCUUAGUUAUAUAACAUGUUGGCUUUGCUUAGGAAGAAGCAUGGAAACAUCUCCCAAUAAGCUCAGUAUUGAGCCCAGAAUUAGCUAACUUUCUUUCUGUCUUUCAUUCAUUUGAUUUUUAAGUAAUCUCUACACCCAACAUGGGACUCAAACUCAUGGCUCCAAGAUCAAGAGUCGCAUGGUCUACCAACUGAGCCAGCCAGAGUGCCCUUCAGAAUGAACUAACUUUCAACACAACAUUUCAGGGGAGGAUAAUUAACCUCACUGAAGUGGAUGAUGAGUGUUUUUGUAAAUAUAUUUUAAAAAUUGAAGUCUUAUGUUUAAUAAGACCCAUGGUAGUAAAUCUCUAUGAAAAGCAGAUCUUAAGUUGUGUAGGGUUUUUGUGUUCGUUUGCAGGUUUCCAUUGGAAGAGGGGAACAUUUCUGACAACAGCUAGAGCUAUUGGCAAUAGCAGGAAAAAGAUUAUUAGUUUUUGAGCUUUCAGGCAAGAAAAUUGAUGAAUUCAAAAGCCUAACGCAUCACUGUAAGCAAACCAGAUUUAGGUGAACAAUUAUCAUAGAACGGGCCGAACUGCCACCCGUGCUUCUAGGUGUCCAGGGCAGGAAUAAUUUUCCCUCAAGCUUAAUUUUGAAUUGUUUAAAAAAAAAUUUUCCCCAUAAACAGGAAACAAUUGUGUGACUCAAUUCCGACAUUUUUGUAUUUAUUACCACUCCUGCCUGGCGGUGUGUCAGGUUUGUGCAAAUCAGCGAUGAUCUUGGGUCACGUUAACUGAGGUGUUCUAAGGAGUUUGGAAGUCAGAGAGUCUUCGCUUGGUAUUCUUCCCUAGGGUGUGUGCAGCUUAUUGCUUUGACCAUGCUACUGUUAGGUGGGAGAGAACUUUAAAUGUGGCAUAGAUUGGGUUUUAAUGAGAAAAAUGAAAUCAAAGAAAAGGGAGUGACUGAAGGCACCAUCGGCAUUUUAUGGGAUAUGUUCCCUGGUCUCACUUGAGUUCAUUGACUGCACCAAAUGCACCACAUCUCAGACAUAUUUUGUUCAAAUACAAUUGUUGAAGUAUUUUUUUAAAGUCUUUUUUUUUUUACUGAUUUUGAGAGAGAGAAAGAGAGAACGGGGGAGGGGCAGAGAGAGAGAGAGAGGGAAUCCCAAGCAGGCUCUGCACUGUCAGCGCAUAGCCUGACGCUGUGGCCUGACACGGGGCUCGAACACACAAACCAUGAGAUCAUGACCUGAGCCAAAAUCAAGAGUCGGAUGCUCAGCCGACUGAGCCACCCAGGUGCCCUGUGAAGUGUGUUGUAACUGAUGGCCCCAUCCUGGGGACUUCUUCCAAAGCAUUCUGUUUUGAUUUCCCCAAUAUAAUCGUUGAGACUUAACAUCCUUCUCUAUAGUCUUUGUAGAGACACUACAUUUUUGUGGGCAUUUUUUUUUGUCAGAUAAAUACACAGGAAGUGUUUACCAUUAUAUCUGAUAGCUGUACCAUGCCAUUAGAAAAAUAUAUGCACAGUACAUGCUGAUGACUAAUCAGUACCCAUACAAGCCCCAGAGCAAGGCUGACAAGUAGCUUCGUAAGCUGGACGUCUCUCAGCUGUCCUUUAGACACUGUGUUUCCACCUUUAGUCAUCCCAUUCCUUCCUUGUGUCCAAGAGACCAGAGUUCCAAUGCCAAAGUCAGUGGUCCUGAGCCUGGAACCUGAAAUUAAGUUUGCCUCUUGGUGGAGAUCAAGGCAAAAGAGUGGGAAAAGGAAGGGUUUUACUUGCAACCAGUAAGGGGAAACCAGGAUAUUUCUCACAGCAGUGCCCGCCCCUUCCCCAACAACAACGUUGGGGAGGUUUUAAGCUGAGGGGGCAUGCACAUUCAUGGACGGUCUUGGCAAAGGAGAGCUCCGUGUAGAAUUGGGGCCAGAGUCAUCCUGGGUGGACAGAAUCCGGGUCCUGGUUGAUCGAAGUCAUGGGGGCCAGCAAGGGUCCGCAUCAAAGGUUCUCUGGAUCCAGUUAGUCCAGGGUUUGACUUCUCAGAGGGGCUUCACUCCUGCAAAAAUGACUUAAGACUCUGCCCUAGGUCAUUACUUUUGAAAUAGCACUGGGAGUGUUACCAUUGCUUUAUUGUCUCUGAUAGUG
Acinonyx jubatus (cheetah) is the source of this 3621-nucleotide long non-coding RNA. RefSeq lists it as uncharacterized. The transcript has 4 exons. NCBI's taxonomy places the organism in Eukaryota, Metazoa, Chordata, Mammalia, Carnivora, Felidae. The record is from RefSeq and is a predicted model, not a curated record.